Zingiber officinale is the source of this 140-nucleotide small nucleolar RNA. RefSeq annotates it as small nucleolar RNA F1/F2/snoR5a. NCBI's taxonomy places the organism in Eukaryota, Viridiplantae, Streptophyta, Magnoliopsida, Zingiberales, Zingiberaceae. The transcript has a single exon. The record is from RefSeq and is a predicted model, not a curated record.
AAAUGCCAUCAGGUAUCUAAUGCUCAGUCAAUCUGAUGGCUUAGCAUCUCGUAAGUGUGGCAGAGAUGUAGAAAGCAGGUCUUGCGACACAGAUAGUUCUAUUCUUUGAGCUUCCUGUUACUAAAUCCCUGCUUACAUUU